AUUGAACGCUGGCGGCAUGCUUUACACAUGCAAGUCGAACGGCAGCACGGGAGCAAUCCUGGUGGCGAGUGGCGAACGGGUGAGUAAUGUAUCGGAACGUACCUUUCAGUGGGGGAUAACGUAGCGAAAGUUACGCUAAUACCGCAUAUUCUGUGAGCAGGAAAGCAGGGGAUCGCAAGACCUUGCGCUGAUUGAGCGGCCGAUAUCAGAUUAGCUAGUUGGUGAGGUAAAGGCUCACCAAGGCGACGAUCUGUAGCGGGUCUGAGAGGAUGAUCCGCCACACUGGAACUGAGACACGGUCCAGACUCCUACGGGAGGCAGCAGUGGGGAAUUUUGGACAAUGGGCGCAAGCCUGAUCUAGCCAUGCCGCGUGAGUGAAGAAGGCCUCGGUUGUAA
This 396-nucleotide ribosomal RNA is filed under the name uncultured bacterium. RNAcentral's name for it is "bacterial SSU rRNA". It matches the Rfam family "Bacterial small subunit ribosomal RNA", at positions 30 to 428 of the family's 1533-position model. The record is from RNAcentral.